RNAcentral lists this ribosomal RNA (253 nucleotides) under uncultured bacterium. RNAcentral describes it as "partial 16S ribosomal RNA". It matches the Rfam family "Bacterial small subunit ribosomal RNA", at positions 524 to 776 of the family's 1533-position model. The record is from RNAcentral.
UACGUAGGGCGCAAGCGUUGUCCGGAAUUAUUGGGCGUAAAGAGCUCGUAGGCGGCCUGUUGCGUCCGCUGUGAAAUCCCGGGGCUCAACCCCGGGCCUGCAGUGGAUACGGGCUGGCUAGAGGCAGGCAGGGGAGAACGGAAUUCCUGGUGUAGCGGUGAAAUGCGCAGAUAUCAGGAGGAACACCGGUGGCGAAGGCGGUUCUCUGGGCCUGUACUGACGCUGAGGAGCGAAAGCGUGGGGAGCAGACAGG